RNAcentral lists this small nuclear RNA (104 nucleotides) under Spermophilus dauricus (Daurian ground squirrel). The record is from RNAcentral. Lineage: Eukaryota; Metazoa; Chordata; Mammalia; Rodentia; Sciuridae.
GUACUUGGUUCUGCAGUACUUAUACUAAGGUUGAAACGAUACAGAGAUUAGCAUGGCCCCUGCACAAGGAUGACAGGCAUUCCAUAUAAAAAAAAUUAUGUGUG